CUCUCUGCCAACUUUCAACUGAGAAUAUAAAAAAAAAUUGAUUCUGAAUGAGACUAUUUGAGUAGUGAAGUAUUUUAUGAAUAAUUUAAUGACGUCUCUCGGAAAUUUCUAUUUCAAUUCGAUACACCGAAAGGUUCUGCUAAAAAUAUUGAAUUUUAACGAAUAGUUGGGGAUUCUCUCCGAAAGGGCUAAAUGCAACAGGAUAACCAAUCGGCAUGGCACAAGAGCUGCUUUUGUGAUUGUAUUUUCCGUCUGAUUGGCUGGAGGAGGGACUGAUGGCUGUCCGACACUUUCGCCACCUUGAGAAGGAAAAAGAACUAGUGGUUCUAGGGGUUAUGAGGGCUUGAAUUUAGCAG
Molecule: long non-coding RNA, 356 nt
Organism: Diachasmimorpha longicaudata
Lineage: Eukaryota; Metazoa; Arthropoda; Insecta; Hymenoptera; Braconidae
Exons: 3
Source: RefSeq, a predicted model, not a curated record